UGUUUCCUCAGAAGCAAUCUGGGAAGGAAACAAGGCGCACUGUGUCCUCAUUCCUCUGCUUUAUACAGGGUGAUGUAUCACAGAAACACUCCUCCUCCUCCCUCAACUCGACUAGAACAGAAGCCAAAAUAUCAGAUUCAGUGUGAUCACUGUAACAGCGGAGGCAUGGUCAAGCACUGGUUUGUGAAUGGAGAGUGAAGCCAGGGAAGCAUUUUUAUUACACUGGUGCUGAAACCUGGGAUGCUGAAGUGAACUGCCACCAUGGAGUCCUCACCAUUUAAAGAACUCGUCCAUGCCCUUGCUGCCACCCAACAGAACCAGCACCAGGCACGGGUCACUAUUGGCCCUUUUUCAGCUCACUUCAGCCCGACACGGCUCGAGUUUCGACUAUCUCAAAACAGCACGACUCAGCUCGCUUCAGCCCUGCUUAGCCCCUAAAACUCGCACGGUUUUGGAGUGGGGCUGAAGCGAGCCAAACUGAGCUGAGUGAGGCUAGGGGCAUGAGGAGACACUCCCCUGUGCACUGAUUGGUGAGGAGGAGUGUCCUCACAUGCCCCCACACGCCCCGCGAGCAUGCUGGGAUCUGUGAACACCGUAAACCCGGAAGAAGGAGAAUUACGAGAAUUAUGAAGCCUUAUGCGCCUCGCCUCAUCUAUACGCUCUUGCCAGUAUUUGUUGGCGUUGUCACCAACAACAAGCCACAGCACCAAGACCAGCAACACUAACGACUCCAUGUCCUCCAUGUUUAUUGUUUACUAUCCGGGUCGUGAGACUACCGCUUAAAAGGUCACUGAUGUCACUGUUUGCGCCGCCUAACGACAUCACCUGACGUCCACCCACUUUCGCUAACUCCACCCAAUGUGUCCACCCACUUCCAGACAGCACAGUUCAGCGCGGUUGUAGUCGAAAUGCAACUCCAACAGCCCCGCUCAGCUCGACUCAGCCCAACUCAGCACGGCACGACUCAGCCGCGUUGGUAGUGGAAAAGCGGCAUUAUUUCACUCAAAAUCAAUGUUCCUUGUAAAACGUUUGCUUUAUGCUCUGAAAAGGCGUUAGAAACAGGCUGAAUGCGCUCCUACGCUAGGAAAGCGGUUUUCAUGCAGUCGGUGACAGUGUGUUUUCCUACUCUGAACAAGUGCAUAUCACAAUACUAUGUUGAAAACUCGUUUCAGACAUGCUUUUACAGUUAAAAUGACAAAUAUGAUGAAAAUGUGUUAAAAGCUCGAAAACAUGAAAAUCCAUGCUUAGAAAGUGGUUACAUGUCACAUUUGCUCGAAUGCACUCAUUUCACUCAAAAUCAAUGUUCCUUGUCAAACGUUUGCUUUAUGCUCUGAAAAGGCGUUAGAAACAGUCUGAAGGCGCUCCUGCGCUAGGAAAGCUGUUUUCAUGCACUUGGUGACACAGUGUGUUUUCCUACUCUGAACAAGUGCAUAUCACAAUACUAUGUUGAAAACUCGUUUCAGACGUGCUUUUACAGUUAAAAUGACAAAUAUGAUGAAAAUGUGUUAAAAGCUCAAAAACAUGAAAAUCCAUGCUUAGAAAGUGGUUACAUGUUACAUAUGCUCGAAUGCACUUAUGGCCCUUUUCCACUACCCUUUUUCAGCUCACUUCAGCUCGCUUCAGCUCACUUCAGCCCGACACGGCUCGAGUUUCGACUAUCUCAAAACAGCACGACUCGGCUCGCUUCAGCCCUGCUUAGCACCCAAAACUCGCACGGUUUUGGAGUGGGGCUGAAGCGAGCCAAACCGAGCUGAGUGAGGCUAGGGGCGUGAGGAGACACUCCCCUGUGCACUGAUUGGUGAGGAGGAGUGUCCUCACACGCCCCGCGAGCAUGCUGGGAUCUGUAAACACCGUAAACCCGGAAGAAGGAGAAUUACGAAUUACGAGAAUUAUGAAGCCUUAUGCGCCUCGCCUCAUCUAUACGCUCUUGCCAGUAUUUGUUGGCGUUGUCGGUGACAACAAGCCACAGCACCAAGACCAGCAACACUAACGACUCCAUGUCCUCCAUGUUUAUUGUUUACUAUCCGGGUCGUGAGACUACCGCUUAAAAGGUCACUGAUGUCACUGUUUGCGCCGCCUAAUGACAUCACCUGACGUCCACCCACUUUCGCUAACUCCACCCAAUGUGUCCACCCACUUCCAGCCAGCACGGUUCAGCACGGUUGUAGUCGAAAUGCAACUCCAACAGCCCUGCUCAGCUCGACUCAUCCCAACUCAGCACGGCACGACUCAGCCGUGUUGGUAGUGGAAAAGCGGCAUAUGUGCAGCGAGUAGGAGCGGUGCUUUGAGGCCCUGCUGCAGGCCAAACAGGAGGACCACCAGGCACUCCUGCAUCUCAUCGUACCCGCAGGGGACCCAGCCACAGAGUCAGCGGGCUUCCCCCAUGUCACCCUGAUAAAAAUGGGGCUGCCCGAUGAUGCUGGUGGUGGUUUGGGGCAGAAGAUCACACUGUCGAGGGGGUCAUCAUCGCAGUCGCACUGGAGCACUUCAUAGCUCUGCUACCAAGAGUGCCACCAUGUCCAGUGCCACUGCAAAGUGUCACCGGAUCACGCAAUUGAGCUGGCUCAAGAUCAUAUGGCAGUGGUUCCAGUGGCAGGUAGACAUCCUGUCUCUUCUCUCUCUCGUCCUGCCCCUCCUCCUGUUUUGCCCUUUCCUCCCUUCCCCUCCAUAUACCACAGAAGUGGGGGCUGACUCUCCUACAGCCAGCUCCCCAAGCCCAUGGUUUCUCUCCACCCUCCUCCACUUGUGUUUCUGUUUCUUCCCCCCCCCCAGGUGAAUGAUCCUCAUGGCACCAGUGCAGAGGUGAGGCCUGGGCUGGUGUGCUGGCAUUGACCAGUGCCUUGCAGUGGAGGUGGGGGCAGUGGUCCAGAUCCUUGACGCACCAGAGACUGCCCCCAAACAAGCUGGAACAUACCACAUACCCAUAAGUAUCCAAGGGGGUACAUAUCAUGCUUUGGUGGAUUCAGACUGUAAUAAUACAUCAAUCCACCAAAGGUUGGUUAAAUAUGAGGCAUUGGAUACAGCACAUUUUGUGAAGGUUUGUUUGUGCAUGGGGAUAUUCACAAGUGCCCGCAGAUACUGGUAAAACAUCCAAAUUUAGGGAAUAGAUUAUAGUGUUGAGGCAGCAGUUAGCCCACGCCUCACCCACCCAUGAUUUCUGGGGACAGAUUUGCCAGGGUUUAGGAGCUUAAAAGAAGGAGUGGUGGAGGGUAGGUCCUGCAGUAGCACGUUCUGAGGGGAUUGCAAUGUGACUGUGUGGCGAAGCCGUCCCAGAGCCGUCUAUGUCAGCCAUGCAUCAUAGCAACAUGGAGAACAGGGAGCGCACCGCCACUUCUCUUUCUCUCUGGGAUUCCCAAGCAGAUUUUCCUCUGGAGCAGGUGCAAGAUGUGACUCUGGCACGCAUUUGACCAAGUGAAAGUUGCCAGUGGUCAGAAUCUUCCAAACAUUGCACUCUCCCACCUGUACUUUUCCCUUAUUAGGGACAGGCUGUAUCAAAUGACUUAGGACACUCAGACUGGAGAGCAGAUAAUGCACUUGUGAAUACAAAAAAGCUGCAGGGAACCUCUAGUCCACAUGGCUCAUUAUAAUCCAAUGGCUGGACAUUUAGGGAAAGACAAAACACUAACCCAAUUACUGGCUGAGGAUUCAUGGGGGAUGUCUGCAGGUGGUAUGCAGCAUGUCACAAGUGCCAACUUCUAAAUCCAACGGCUUCUCCUAAAGCACCAUUGUGCCCGCUUCCCCUAAUUGAGACCCCCUUUGAAAGAAUUGGGAUGGGUCUUGUUGGGCCACUAGUUCAGACUGCACAAGGGCAUCACUUUAUUUUAGUCCUUGUGGACUAUGCAAUGCAGUACCCUGAAGCAGUGCUAUGGCAUAACGUUUCUGCAUGCAGUAUUGCAGAGGCUACCUCAAAAGUAGUCAAACAUUUAUACAAAUUAAUUUACCUGUAAAAGUCCCUUUCUUACAUAAAAUCAAUUCCAACACCGAGUGUGUUUGGACUGCACUGAAUUCUUAAACUUCCACCAUUAAUUGUUAUACUCUGUCCCACUACAAGGGACCAACCCUAGAACCAUCCCAAAACAAAAUGGCGGCUCUUCUUAAAAAUCAUUGUACAAUGACUUUUUUCUUUGUUUGAACACAGACUUCUCAUCGGCUUCCCGAUGCAAGCUUCUCAUUGGCUAAAGCAUAUCUUCCACUGUCUUUAAAAUAAAACAGAUCUGCUCAUAUUUUCCACCAUGUGACAAGGUUUGAAUGACACAAUGGCGAUUUUGUGUUUACCACUGUAGAAAUAGUUAAGAUGGGUGGAGCACAGAAGCAUGGCAGGCCAGAACUGAGUUUGCAAAAACCCUUUUUAUUUUAGCUUUUCAGCUUUUAAUUAUUCACACACACACACACACACGCGUGUUCUCGUUCGGGGAGAGCCCCCUUCCUCUGCUCUCCCUCUCCUCUUAUAGGGCGUGGUCACUGGGGAAGACACAAACACAGGUUAAUUCCCAUCAGGUGCAGUGAUUCUGCCACUUACCUUCCCUGACUCCACCCUCCAUUCACAGACUAACGCUUGACCACGCCCCCGCUGCCACAUACCCCCACCGCCCGACUCGGGCUGGGGAGCCGUCCAGCCUGCAGCGAACUCCCCCCCCCCCCCGGAUGGGAGAGGAAAUCCGCCGUGUCCAUCUGCACCCCCGACUUGUGGACCACCUGAACUUGAAUGGCUGGCGUGCCAGAUACCAACAGGUGAUCCGUGCAUUGCAGAGAUGCCAACAACUAUGAAAUUUUCGUAUUUUAUACGAUUUUCUGCCACUUUUGCACCACUAUGACCAGUUAAUUCAAAACUACGAAUUUCACAGUGAUCGGAAAAAAAAUCAGUUCGUUCCGCAUUUUUGUUUGGUACGUUGAACUCCGCCAUGAUCGAAGAAAAUUCAGUCCGUUCCGCAUUUUCAGAAGGAUUAAAUCUGCGGGAAUCAUUCAAAGCUUUCGUGAUACGUCGUCGCUGAUUGGUUGAUAUUCGCUUCCGGGUUUGAACUCGACCAAUCAAAAUUCGUGAUGGUGCCGUCCGACAAUAGACCCCUUCGCAGUAAACGUCAUUCAUACAUAAGAGGAAAUUGCGCGCGCAGCCUGGACUAAAGACUCAGCGACGGUCAGACUGAAUUUUGGCGACGGUAGAGACGAGAAGAAAUAUUUGGAAGAAAUGCCUAGUUGUGUUGUCGGGUGUCAGAAUCGUAGCAGUGAUGGGGUUAAAAUGUACAGAAUUCCAGCAGGAUCUCACCCAUUCCAAAAAAAUCACCGACGUCUAUGGCUACAAGCCAUCAAACGUGUAGACUGGGAUGAAAGCACCAUCAAAAAUGCGCAGGUUUGCAGCGCCCACUUCAUCACAGGUAAGAUCAGUACGCCCGUAUAAUAAUUCAAACGGGGAGAACCCUGUGGAGGCUUGUGGGACCUCCCGCACUGCGAAUAACAGGGGCUCGAGCCAUUUAUCCCAGCUGCGUGCGUCCUCGCUUACAAAUUUUCAAAUUGUUCUUGAGGGUGCGGUUGAACCGUUCAACUAAGCCAUCCGUUUGUGGCUGAUAAAUGCUGGUGUGGAUAGGCUUAAUUCCCAGUAACCCGUACGGUUCGCGCAGUGUGUGUGACAUAAACGUAGUGCCUUGAUCAGUCAGAAUCUCUUUGGGGAUUCCGACUAGGGAGAUGACGCGGAAGAGUGCUUCUGCAAUACUGCAUGCUGAGACAUUGUGAAGAGGCACUGCUUCUGGAUAUCGCGUUGCAUAGUCCACCAGAACUAAAAGCGAUUUCCUCGUGUUGACCGAUCUAAUGGCCCGACGAGAUCCAUCCCAAUUCUUUCAAGUGGGGUCUCGAUUAAUGGCAGAGGGCGCAAAAGCGCUUUUGGAAUGGCCCCUGGAUUUACUAACUGCCAUUCGCGGCACGCUGUACAACACCUACAGACAUCGCCGCGAAUCCCUGGCCAAUAGAACCGGGCCAUUAUUCAGGCUAGUGUCUUAUCCUGCCCCAAGUGGCCGGCCGUGGGAUUAAAGUGAGCCGCCUGGAAUAUAAAUUCCCGGUGGCUCUUUGAGAUCAAAAGCUGUGUUAUCGGUUCCUUAGACUGGGUGUUCUGCGUCAUUCGGUAUAAUCUAUCCUUAAUAAUGGAGAAAUAGGGGAAGGAUGGGGUGGUGUUUGGCUGGAACGUUUGACCAUCGAUUACUCUCACUUGGUCAAACGCAUGCCGCAGAGUCUCGUCUCGCGACUGCUCUGACGGGAAAUCCGCGAGGGAUUACCUGAGAGAGGGAGGAGGAGCCUGCUGCCCCUCGCUCUGACGCGGUGAUGACGUAGAUGGCUCUGUGACAGCUGCUCCCGCCAAAGCCACACCGGGACCUCCCCCCACUAAAUUAUGGCAGGCCCCACUCUUCACUAAAUGUGUCAUUAAUUCCCCGAAUCCUGGCCAAUCAGUCCCCAAAAUUAUCAAGUGGGUAAGGUGAGGAUUAACCGCCGCCUUUACACUAAAUUUCUCUCCUCGAAAUAAAACGUGGACCGACACGAAAGGGUAGUUGCGAACAUCCCUGUGCACACACAACACCUUCACCAAUUGUGCUCUUCCCAAUGCCUCGUCUUGUCUGAUUACAGCCAGAGUCCACCAAAGCCUGAUGCGUAUCCCCUUGGAUACUCACCGGUAUGCGAUACACUCCGGCCCGAUCGAGGGCAGUCCCUGGCGCAUCGGGGAUCCAGACCACCGUGCCCACCUCCAUCGCUGAGCACUGAUGCUGGAGGUGCCCUGGCUCCCCGCAGCGCCAGCAUACUGGCCCAGGCUUUCCCUCCUGCACCGGUGUUCCGGAGCUCACUCACCUGAGGGGGGGAGACGCGGAAGUAGGAAACGGUAGGGCAUCGCGGGUGCGGCGGGCCGGCUGGGGUGGAGCCGGCCCCCGCCUCCACGGUGGAGGAAUGGGGCGAGGACGAGGAACAGAAGGGGGGGAGAGAGAGAGAGAGAGAAGAGGAGAUAUGCUGUCCUGCUGUCGGAACAGCCGCCGUAUGGUCCUCCGCCAGCUCGAUGGCCUGAUCCAGUGACGCCAGGCGAUGGCACUGGACCCACUCCACUGUUCCUUCCGGAAGUCAGGCGAUGAAUUGUUCCAGCGCCACCAGGUCGAUGAUUCCCUCGGCAUCGCGGUUGUCGGCCCUCAGCCACUGCUGGCAGGCGUCCCGGAGUUGCUGGCCAAACGUGAACGGCCGGCUGACCUACUCCAGGCGCAGUGCGUGGAAUCGCUGGUGCUGCUGCUCCGGGGUGUGCCCCACACGUUGGAGGACGGCCCCUCAGAGGUCGGCAUAGAUCAGCAGGCUGUUCUCUUCUGCACUCUGUCCCAGGUUUCAGAUAUUUUGAGGAGAAAGCGAGAAGGAUAAAUAUAGCUAGUGAACAGAGACAUACUGAGGAGGAGUUCCGCCUUGCCAAGAACUACACGUCACUGCCAAAAAAGAAUAUACAACUCAUCCACCCAAAGAAAUUACAAGAACAUUUCUCUGACCACCUUGGCCUACAGCCAAUCCAGCAGCAGCCUGAGUUGUUACACCCUGAAGAGUUUCCACACAUACUGCCUCCAGAAAACCUAGAGCCCAUAGACGAACAACCCCCAGACGCACCAGAAGUGGAACGCUGCUUGCAGAAACUCAAUAAUGGUAAAUGCCAGGGUACGGAUGGUAUAUAUGCUGAGCAGCUGAAGUACUCCAAUUCCACACGCAUUCUUGAAUAUUUCAUAGUCCUGUUGGGUGCCAUAUGGACAUGCCUAAAGAUUCCAGUCACCUGACUUAUUUCAGCAAUUACCUGUCUACACAAGAAGGGCUCCAAAAGUGUGGCUGAAAAUUACCGUGGACUGUCGAUAAUUGCAACAAUGUCUAAAGUAUUGUCAGUUAUUGUGGUGGAGAGGCUAAGAUUAGUUUACGAGCUAAUUCUAUUGGAUACACAAUUUGGCUUCAGGCGAAAUAGAUCAACAUGUGAUGCUAUAUUCAUUACUAGACACAUUCUUGAGAAGGAAAAACAACCAUUAUUCCUAUGUUUUAUUGACCUGAAAGCUGCAUAUGAUUGGGUUCCACGGGACGCACUUUUCCGGGUGCUAGAAAUCCGACUCUCCUGCCCUAAACUGGUGUCAAUCCUGAAGGCCCUCUACACUGUCUCACAAUGACUGGAUUUUUGUCUGUAAAAUUUUUGACAUGCCUUUGAUUGAAGUUGGCCCCACAUUGACUCCACACUGACCCAGCAAGUAAUACUGGAUCAUUUUCCAGAAAUGACAAAGUAUCUCAUUUGUUUAAUUGGGCUCUCUUUAUCGACUUUUAGGACUCGUGUGAAAAUUUGAUGUUUUACAUCAUAUUUAUGCUGCUUUUCAACUCGUAACUAUACACAGCACAAGGCCUUAUCAAAAUCCAUCAGUACACCAGCUAUGGUUCUCAGUAUACUCAACAUUGCUUAGAAAAUGCACAGAUGCUUCAAUAGCUGCAUCACUGUUUAAGUUGCCUGAUUAGGAAGAGAAUUUAGCUUGUUAAUCUGAGUCUUUAGUUUAUCUCAGCUUAAUGGGAAUAAAAUGUUAAAAGUUGUAAGCAAUUUGUGCUUCUUCUUGUGAUUUUGUAUUCUGGUUGCUGAUAAUUGUAGAUAAUACAAAUUACAUACUUGCUAAUCAGGAAAAGGAAAAAAAAACUAAAAAAAUAAGGUUUAAAUUAGAUUGGUUUUGAAGCUGAUGAGAAAAUAUUCUUCUGAAGUAGAUCUGUGUCUAAUGUGUGACGGAACAUGACAAGUGAUGAAUUAAAUUAUUUUAUUUAAUGUAGACUAUAGAUUUAAAAAUGUUACAAACUUUAAAACUGACAGAUGCACAAAUAUUCACACAAAAAUACAUUAUUAAGUAACCAAUUUGAUAAGAAAAACCCAUCUUUUGUAUUAUGAUCUACAAAAUCGUAUAGAUGUUUGAUAUUGAUGAUAGAUU
This is a long non-coding RNA of Neoarius graeffei (lesser salmon catfish), 8945 nucleotides long. RefSeq lists it as uncharacterized. Lineage: Eukaryota; Metazoa; Chordata; Actinopteri; Siluriformes; Ariidae. The record is from RefSeq and is a predicted model, not a curated record. The transcript has 3 exons.